RNAcentral lists this small RNA (596 nucleotides) under Pongo abelii (Sumatran orangutan). RNAcentral describes it as "processed transcript". The record is from RNAcentral. Lineage: Eukaryota; Metazoa; Chordata; Mammalia; Primates; Hominidae.
UGGAGGACCUUUUUAUAGCCAGAAUCCAGUAUCUCUUGCUCCUCCUCCUCCCUCCAUCCUACAGGUAACUCCUCAGUUACCUUUAAUGGGAUUUGUGGCCAGAGUCCAAGAAAAUAUUUCAGAUACACCACCUCCACCGCCACCUGUGGAAGAACCAGUCUUUGAUGAGUCUCCCCCACCUCCUCCACCCCCAGAAGAUUACGAAGAGGAGGAAGCUGCUGUGGUUGAGUAUAGUGAUCCUUAUGCUGAAGAGGACCCACCGUGGGCUCCACGUUCUUACUUGGAAAAGGUUGUGGCAAUUUAUGACUAUACAAAAGACAAGGAAGAUGAGCUGUCCUUUCAGGAAGGAGCCAUUAUUUAUGUCAUCAAGAAGAAUGACGAUGUACAGCCAAGUCAACUGCACAGACUUGAAGCAGCCAAGCUGGGUGAGAGCUGCAGAGCAGAGGGCAGUGAAAGAAGGCACAGUACUAGUGUCAUCCGGCAGUAGAUGCUUUCCAUGAAUACACCAGAGAAAAAGAGCUACAGAAAUACAGUCUAGGAAAAGCUACAUCCCAACAAAAACCCAAAUUAAAGAAAACCCACUAGGGAGUAAAACA